ACGUGAAGCCCGGGCUUGCCUGGGUGGAAAGUGGCGAACGGGUGCCUAACACGUGAGCAACCUGCCCCGAAGACCGNNNNNACAGCGGGAAACCGCUGCUAAUACCGGAUGCCCUCAUCAUGUCGCAUGGCGAGAUGAGGAAAUGGAUUCCGCUUCGGGAUGGGCUCGCGGUCUAUCAGCUUGUUGGUGAGGUAAUGGCUCACCAAGGCUACGACGGAUAGCUGGUCUGAGAGGAUGUCCAGCCACACUGGGACUGAGACACGGCCCAGACUCCUACGGGAGGCAGCAGUGGGGAAUCUUGCACAAUGGGCGAAAGCCUGAUGCAGCGACGCCGCGUGCGGGAUGACGGCCUUCGGGUUGUAAACCGCUUUCAGCAGGGACGAUUAUGACGGUACCUGCAGAAGAAGCCCCGGCCAACUACGUGCCAGCAGCCGCG
This 436-nucleotide ribosomal RNA is filed under the name uncultured soil bacterium. Its description in RNAcentral is "bacterial SSU rRNA". It matches the Rfam family "Bacterial small subunit ribosomal RNA", at positions 66 to 519 of the family's 1533-position model. The record is from RNAcentral.